Long non-coding RNA from Oncorhynchus tshawytscha (Chinook salmon), 3115 nucleotides. NCBI's taxonomy places the organism in Eukaryota, Metazoa, Chordata, Actinopteri, Salmoniformes, Salmonidae. The record is from Ensembl.
AUCAAGAAUAUCAAGUAUAACUGAAAUUAAUGAAGAACUAAAUAAAUUGUUUAACUAAAUGCAACCACAGCAUAUGGCAGCUCUAUAAAUUGUCCCAUAGCAUGAUCAAUUGUGGAAUUUGUUUAGGUAGGGUUUCCAUGUCUUGUUACUGUAAUUGAUGACAACCCCUCAUGGCGGUCCAUUUGUUAAAAAUGAUCCCAGAACCAGGUGCCAGUCAACAGGAAGGGCCAAAGUGCCGUGGUGUUUGGCUCUGCUAUGUACAUCUACGGGGGAUACAUUGACAUGAUUGGCUCAUCACAGGAGUUUUGGAAGUUAGAAUUUGACACCAAGUUGUGGACCCUGCUGGACUGCAUCCAGAUGGAGGUGGGUCCUGGACCCAGACACAGUCACUCUGCCAUGACCGUCCUGGACUGCAUGUACCUGUUUGGGGGGUCUGAGGGGCCUGAGUGAGCAGAGGGACCUGUGGAGGUGGAACUCCACAUGUCACUCCUGGAGAUGUCUCAAAGCCAUCGCCACCAUGGGGCAGUCUGUUUACAACAUUGACAUCAGCAAACCUCUCACUCACAAGACGCCAUACACGCUGUCUGCCAUCUAGCCAGUACAGUUGAUACCGGGAUUCAUCUAUGAAGAGCACACUUCUCCAGCAUGACAUUGGCAAUCCCAGGUGAGCAUUUGCCCACUGAAGUCGGUUACGACACCGAAUUGCAGUCAGUUCAAGACCCUGGUGAGGACGACAAGCAUGCAGAUGAGCUUCCCUGAGACGGUUUCUGACAGUUUGUACAGAUAUUCUUUGCUUGUGCAAAAUCAGUUUCAUCAGCUGUCCGGGUGGCUGGUCUCAGACGAUCCCGCAGGUGCAGAAGCCAGAUGUGGAGGUCCUGGGCUGGCGUGGUUACGCAUGUUCAGCGGUUGUGAGGCCAGUUCGAAGUACUGCCAAAUUCUCUAAAAUGACGUUGGAGGUGGCUUAUGGUAGAGAAAUUAACAUUCAAUUCUCUGGCAACCGCUCUGGUAGACAUUCCUGUAGUCUGCAUGCCAAAUACACAAUCUCUCAAAACUUGAAACAUCUGUGGCAUUGUGUUGUGUGACAAAACUACACAUUUUAGAGUGGCCUGUUUUAAUCAGCUUCCUGAUAAGCCACACCUGUCAGGUGGAUGGAUUAUCUUGGCAAAAGAUAAAUGCUCACUAACAGGGAUGUAAACAAAUUUGUGCACAAAAUAUGAGAGAAAUACGUUUUUUGUGUAUAUGGAAAAUUUCUGGGAUCUUUCAUUUCAGCUCAUGAAACAUGGGACCAACACUUUACAUGCUAUGUUUAUAUAUUUGUUCAGUAAAUCAGUCAGAAUUAAGAGAAAGAUCUAGAGUGUUUUUGCUGAAGCAAGUUACACUAAAUAUAUGAUAUAAUAAUAUAAUGUAUGCCAUUUAGCAGAUGCUUUUUCUCCACAAGUACAGCUUCACCACCCGGACCUGGGUGAAGCUAGCCGUGCUACCCAGCUCCAACCCUCCACCCCACAGGAUCUACCACUGCUGUGCUGGCCUAGGCCCCAGCUACCAGCCUGUCAUGACCACCAGCAUCACCAUCAGAAACAGUCUGGACAGCAAUCUACAGUCAUUCAAAAACAAAUGCUUCCCUUCCUCCUCAGAGUUAGAGGGCACUAUAGAGCCGGAGACGUUAAGUAGCUCAGAGAAGCUAUUGACUGAACUGGGGGACUAUUGUAAUGGUCUAAGUGGGAACUAUGCUUAGCGCUUUGGGAACUGUCUGACUUUUUAAAAUAAUUUUCAUACUUUUUUCAUCAAACCCACAACCGUGGCGCUGCUAGUGUAAUAUAUAAUUAAAUAUUCACUAUUAGCAAUUACUGAUUUUAUUUUCAAUACAAUUCAACAAAUUAUUGUAUUUCUGUUUUGCUAUAUAUUUACAUGCAUUUCAUUUGUAAAAGCUGUCAAAAGGGUGGAGGGAACGAAAUGUACUCUUGAGGACUCCAUGGUGUUGGGAAGGCUUUCAAUGCAGGCUGCAGAGUUUGCUUCCCACCAGCAGGAUCCGUGGAGGUUACGUGCAAAGUUUUUUAUAGUAAUGGUGAUCAAUGUCAUGCUAAAGUGGAGGGAAAGUCCAUGAAGAUGGACAUUAUUGUGGAUGCGGCAGAGUGGUUCCUGGGGCUAAAAUAUUUCUCAAGAAAGGGAUUACAUGAGGCUCUGUCACAAGCAGUGAUACCCUCUCAGGCCCCAGAGUGUGGGGAGGGAGCUAUUGAAGAAAUGAGGGAGUGUGAUAUAGGUUUUGUUAAGUCAUUUUUUUGUAUGGCAUUUCCUGUUUUACCUUAAGGAGUUUCCUUUUCCCCCCCUGUACAGAUGGUGGCACCAUAAAUAUAGUAUGACGACCGCCAUUAAACUUCACCGACGAAGAAGUUCACAAAAGAUCAUGAACAGUCAAAAUCAUGUUUGUCUUGAAAUUGGAUAAUAUUUGGAUGAAACCAGAUAAAGUUUAUUCAUAAAGUUACUGAUCCCGUCCCCCAUGUCAAACACUUGGAUUCUGAAGGUGGGAUUUUUAAGGGGAUAGGGUAACAUCACACUAACUCCUAUUUUAAUACACUAUUGGUAACAUGAUAUUAUAUUACCUAGCUUAAAUAAGUAACGCCUUGUAAGCAACAUCAGAGAAGGUGUGUUUGCAGAGGGGUCGUAGUUUAUAAAGCUAGAUAGCUACUCUACUGGUGCCAAAAUUGGACUGUAUGGUGUCAGCAAAUGUAAUUAAAAGUUGACACUUCACCUAUGGCAAUGAUACUUGUAUGUUUCCCCUUUCAUUUGUGUCUGGUGUUAACUAGUUAAUUGCUAGCUAGAUCUUCAUCUGUGUCUGGUGUUAACUAGUUAAUGGCUAGCUAGAUCUUCAUCUGUGUCUGGUGUUAACUAGUUAAUGGCUAGCUAGGUCUUCAUCUGUGUCUGGUGUUAACUAGUUAAUGGCUAGCUAGGUCUUCAUCUGUGUCUGGUGUUAACUAGUUAAUGGCUAGCUAGGUCUUCAUCUGUGUCUGGUAUUAGCUAGUUAAUGGCUAGCUAGAUCUUCAGCCAGCAUGGAACAAACGGGUUGUUGAAAACUCUGACGCAGUUGUCAUGUCAACACAUCUGUCAGUGCUGCUGU